CAGCCGCCGCGGUAAUACGUAGGUGGCAAGCGUUGUCCGGAAUCAUUGGGCGUAAAGGGCUCGCAGGCGGUUUCUUAAGUCUGAUGUGAAAGCCCCCGGCUCAACCGGGGAGGGUCAUUGGAAACUGGGAAACUUGAGUGCAGAAGAGGAGAGUGGAAUUCCACGUGUAGCGGUGAAACGCGUAGAGAUGUGGAGGAACACCAGUGGCGAAGGCGACUCUCUGGUCUGUAACUGACGCUGAGGAGCGAAAGCGUGGGGAGCGAACAGGAUUAGAUACCCCCGUAGUCCCUGUCUCUUAUAC
RNAcentral lists this ribosomal RNA (301 nucleotides) under uncultured bacterium. RNAcentral's name for it is "partial 16S ribosomal RNA". It matches the Rfam family "Bacterial small subunit ribosomal RNA", at positions 509 to 807 of the family's 1533-position model. The record is from RNAcentral.